UAUUCACGAAAUAUUUCAUUCACAUUUGAUUUCUUUUCUGACAUGAAAACCACCCUAAUCCUGGAAAACCGUAUCAUGGCCUUUCCCGCCAAGGUUACCUUCCGGACAAUGAAGAGGGACGUCUCAUUCUGGGAAUGCUUAAACGUGCUUUCGAACAUCGUCUGAUAUUCACGGUUGGUUUUUCUCGAACUUCCGGUAGAGACAACGUGGUCACGUGGAACGACAUCCAUCACAAAACAAGGAGAGAUGGAGGGCCUGAAAAAUUUGGUUAUCCAGAUCCAGAAUACUUAGCAAGAGUUAGAGAUGAACUGAAGGCCAAAGGAAUUUCAGAGGAAUGAAAACUGAGACUUUUCCUGAAAUGACAAUAAAGAUGAUGUUCUUUAGGCCAUCGGUACAAUUUUGUUUGUUUGCCCUUUGGAGUUCUGGCUAAAAUUAGACCAACUCAAAACUUUUUUUAACAUGCAGGAAACAAUUUUUUCUCUCUCCAGAAUAUUUGCAACCCGACAACAUCUAUUUUGGGGUUUAUUAAUAAACACCACCACCCACCGCUUUUAAAAAAGAUGUUGAGCAUUCAGCAUUUAUGUUGAAAAUCCAUAAGAAAAAAUUGCCCACCUACCUACUGACCCAUUUUUUCAUCCUGAGACUUGAGAGGGUAAACAAACAAUAUUUUCUUGAAGAAGACUUUACAUGUACAUUUCUCCCUAACAUUAUACUCCUACAAUUUUGCUUCUAUUAAUUAUUCCACAAUGCUUUUUUCUAAAAAAUGAUAUGUUUUUGUCGGUGUUGCAAAGACGCCAGUAUUAUUCCAACAUUUUAAAAUAGUCUUCUUGAGAUAUCAAUGCCAUUUUCGUUUUGUAAAAUCAUUCUCCAUGCAAUGCUCUAUUCAAUGAAACUGUAUUUUAAUAUGGUCCAUAAGAAUACAAGAAAGGUAGAUUUUCCCGAAAAUCUGAGUGUAAACAGAAGUCAAUGUACCCUCCAUAUCCGUAUUUUAAAAAAAAAACGUUUCUAUGCUGUAGUUUUUGUACACACACACAGAAACUAAAAACAAGUCAGGUAUUUUAAUAAAAUCGUAGCAUACAGGUAAACUUUUCAGAAGUAAAACUAAUGGGUUUCAUUGACUGGACCUUACUACAAUGAACAUUUUCUUAAUCUAUUUUGAAUAAUGCUCUCCUGUUCGUAUGAAUUAAUUCAUAGAAAUGUAAUGGAUUGAAAUGAAUACUUUUAUAUUUAAUUAAUAAAUAGACGUUGACAUUUAA
Saccostrea cuccullata (small rock oyster) is the source of this 1256-nucleotide long non-coding RNA. RefSeq lists it as uncharacterized. The transcript is spliced from 2 exons. Lineage: Eukaryota; Metazoa; Mollusca; Bivalvia; Ostreida; Ostreidae. The record is from RefSeq and is a predicted model, not a curated record.